This is a long non-coding RNA of Prionailurus viverrinus (fishing cat), 199 nucleotides long. RefSeq lists it as uncharacterized. The record is from RefSeq and is a predicted model, not a curated record. Lineage: Eukaryota; Metazoa; Chordata; Mammalia; Carnivora; Felidae. The transcript is spliced from 3 exons.
CAAGAAUUGGACGCCCAACAGACCGAGCCACCCAGAUGCCCCUAGUGUGGAAGAAGCUUUAUUACCAUCCCAAUUUUAAGGUGAAAAGUUUACAAAGACUUCCUCUCAAGCCAUUAAAACAUGACAAGCCCUGUGUCCCGGAGCCUUGGAAGAACAGUGGAACACCAACAGAAAAACCAACCAACCAACACAACCAACA